AUUGAACGCUGGCGGCAGGCUUAACACAUGCAAGUCGAACGAUGAAGAUAUAGCUUGCUAUAUCGGAUUAGUGGCGGACGGGUGAGUAACACUUAGGAAUCUACCUUUUAGCGGGGGAUAGCUCGGGGAAACUCGAAUUAAUACCGCAUAAUUUCUACGGAAUAAAGAGGGCUUUUAGCUCUCACUAGAAGAUGAGCCUAAGUAAGAUUAGCUAGUUGGUGGGGUAAAAGCCUACCAAGGCGACGAUCUUUAGCUGGUCUGAGAGGAUGAUCAGCCACACUGGGACUGAGACACGGCCCAGACUCCUACGGGAGGCAGCAGUGGGGAAUAUUGGACAAUGGGGGCAACCCUGAUCCAGCCAUGCCGCGUGUGUGAAGAAGGCCUUUUGGUUGUAAAGCACUUUAAGCAGUGAAGAAGACCUAUUGGUUAAUACCCAAUAGCGAUGACAUUAACUGCAGAAUAAGCACCGGCUAACUCUGUGCCAGCAGCCGCGGUAAUACAGAGGGUGCAAGCGUUAAUCGGAAUUACUGGGCGUAAAGCGAGCGUAGGUGGUUAAAUAAGUCAGAUGCGAAAGCCCUGGGCUCAACCUAGGAACGGCAUCUGAAACUAUUUAACUAGAGUAGGUGAGAGGGAAGUAGAAUUUCAGGUGUAGCGGUGAAAUGCGUAGAGAUCUGAAGGAAUACCGAUGGCGAAGGCAGCUUCCUGGCAUCAUACUGACACUGAGGCUCGAAAGCGUGGGUAGCAAACAGG
This 750-nucleotide ribosomal RNA is filed under the name uncultured bacterium. Its description in RNAcentral is "bacterial SSU rRNA". It matches the Rfam family "Bacterial small subunit ribosomal RNA", at positions 28 to 776 of the family's 1533-position model. The record is from RNAcentral.